CGGACGGGUGAGUAAUGUCUGGGAAACUGCCCGAUGGAGGGGGAUAACUACUGGAAACGGUAGCUAAUACCGCAUAACGUCGCAAGACCAAAGAGGGGACCUUCGGGCCUCUUGCCAUCGGAUGUGCCCAGAUGGGAUUAGCUAGUAGGUGGGGUAACGGCUCACCUAGGCGACGAUCCCUAGCUGGUCUGAGAGGAUGACCAGCCACACUGGAACUGAGACACGGCCCAG
Molecule: ribosomal RNA, 231 nt
Filed under: uncultured bacterium
Lineage: Bacteria
Description: partial 16S ribosomal RNA
Rfam family: Bacterial small subunit ribosomal RNA
Source: RNAcentral